Ictidomys tridecemlineatus (thirteen-lined ground squirrel) is the source of this 47-nucleotide non-coding RNA. Lineage: Eukaryota; Metazoa; Chordata; Mammalia; Rodentia; Sciuridae. The record is from Rfam.
CUCAAGGAUUUUUUAAAAUCCAUUUCAUUGUCUUUAGGAAAAUAAGU